ACGGGAGGCAGCAGUGGGGAAUAUUGGGCAAUGGGCGAAAGCCUGACCCAGCAACGCCGCGUGAAGGAAGAAGGCCUUCGGGUUGUAAACUUCUUUUACCAGGGACGAAGGAUGUGACGGUACCUGGAGAAAAAGCAACGGCUAACUACGUGCCAGCAGCCGCGGUAAUACGUAGGUUGCAAGCGUUGUCCGGAUUUACUGGGUGUAAAGGGCGUGUAGGCGGAGAGGCAAGUCAGAUGUGAAAUCCUGGGGCUCAACCCCGGAACUGCAUUUGAAACUGUAGCCCUUGAGUAUCGGAGAGGCAAGCGGAAUUCCUAGUGUAGCGGUGAAAUGCGUAGAUAUUAGGAGGAACACCAGUGGCGAAGGCGGCUUACUGGACGAUAACUGACGUUGAGGCUCGAAAGCGUGGGGAGCAAACAGGAUUAGAUACCCUGGUA
RNAcentral lists this ribosomal RNA (437 nucleotides) under uncultured Pseudoflavonifractor sp. RNAcentral describes it as "partial 16S ribosomal RNA". It matches the Rfam family "Bacterial small subunit ribosomal RNA", at positions 341 to 792 of the family's 1533-position model. Lineage: Bacteria; Bacillati; Bacillota; Clostridia; Eubacteriales; Oscillospiraceae. The record is from RNAcentral.